This 389-nucleotide long non-coding RNA is filed under the name Lotus japonicus. Its description in RNAcentral is "long non-coding RNA (LJAP_LNC000866)". The record is from RNAcentral. Lineage: Eukaryota; Viridiplantae; Streptophyta; Magnoliopsida; Fabales; Fabaceae.
AUAUUGAAGAAGAAAAGCUGAAUAAACAGAGCAAUAAGAAAAAACAAUCACCACCCAAUUGGAUGUUUGAAGAUGAAGAUUCUGAUUUGGUUUCAGACUUCAAAGAUCUACCAAUCAGGUUUCAGAAAUCAUUGAUCCCGGACCUGGAACGAAUCUCAACAACUUCAAAGUCUUACUUCACAAGAGCCAACAAGGAAUUCACAAAAGGAUUCAAACCUUACGUUGGUAACAAAUACGCACCCACCAUUGCAACUUUGCUAUCAUGUGCAUUCGUUCUGAUCCCAUUGCUUUUAGCUUCUCUUGUUUUGAACAAGAUCAAAGCCUAUUUCUCACUUCAGAAGCUCUUGCUCUUCAUCCAAGCUUACCUCUCUAUCUACUUCUCAAUCCUC